GUUUUAAUUUUUGUCACACUCCUCAUCUUAUCCCAUGCAUAACCUCUCCAUCACACCUAAGAGAUCUCAUCUAAGGCAUUGAAAUUAAAUCAAGAAUUGGAAAGGUGUGGAGAUAAGGUUGCAUUACAAGAAAGAAAUCUCUUCUCACCAUAAGCACACGUCCCACCUUUCCCCAAUUUUUUUGUCAUACAAAAUUAAUCUUCCAUGUCUCAAUUAGAGAAAUUUCUAUCUUAUUUUAAAUCAAAUUCAAAUAGAAAAAAAUUUGGAUGAAAAAGAGUUUCAGAAAAGGUGGGGCGCCAAUCUCCUUUCACACACACUAAG
This 321-nucleotide long non-coding RNA is filed under the name Elaeis guineensis (African oil palm). RNAcentral describes it as "long non-coding RNA (EGUI_LNC014903)". The record is from RNAcentral. Lineage: Eukaryota; Viridiplantae; Streptophyta; Magnoliopsida; Arecales; Arecaceae.